AUUGAACGCUGGCGGCAUGCCUUACACAUGCAAGUCGAACGGCAGCACGGGAGCAAUCCUGGUGGCGAGUGGCGAACGGGUGAGUAAUGUAUCGGAACGUGCCCAGUCGUGGGGGAUAACGCAGCGAAAGCUGUGCUAAUACCGCAUACGAUCUAUGGAUGAAAGCGGGGGAUCGCAAGACCUCGCGCGAUUGGAGCGGCCGAUGUCAGAUUAGCUAGUUGGUGGGGUAAAAGCUUAACAAGGCGACGAUCUGUAGCUGGUCUGAGAGGACGACCAGGCACACUGGGACUGAGGCACGGUCCAGACUCCUACGGGGGGCAGCAGUGGGGAAUUUUGGGCAAUGGGCGCAAGCCUGAUCCAGCAAUGCCGCGUGCAGGAUGAAGGCCUUCGGGUUGUAAACUGCUUUUGUACGGAGCGAAAAGGCUUUCUCUAAUACAGGGGGCUCAUGACGGUACCGUAAGAAUAAGCACCGGCUAACUACGUGCCAGCAGCCGCAGUAA
RNAcentral lists this ribosomal RNA (500 nucleotides) under uncultured bacterium. RNAcentral's name for it is "partial 16S ribosomal RNA". It matches the Rfam family "Bacterial small subunit ribosomal RNA", at positions 30 to 523 of the family's 1533-position model. The record is from RNAcentral.